RNAcentral lists this ribosomal RNA (519 nucleotides) under uncultured eukaryote. RNAcentral describes it as "SSU rRNA". It matches the Rfam family "Eukaryotic small subunit ribosomal RNA", at positions 1161 to 1704 of the family's 1831-position model. The record is from RNAcentral.
AGGGCACCACCAGGAGUGGAGCCUGCGGCUUAAUUUGACUCAACACGGGAAAACUCACCCGGCCCGGACACCGUAAGGAUUGACAGAUUGAUAGCUCUUUCAUGAUUCGGUGGUUGGUGGUGCAUGGCCGUUCUUAGUUCGUGGAUCGAUUUGUCUGGUUUAUUCCGAUAACGAGCGAGACUCUAGCCUACUAAAUAGUAACGGGAUUACUCUUGUCCCGGUUGCUUCUUAGAGGGAUUUUCGGUGUUUAGCCGCACGAGAUUGAGCAAUAGCAGGUCUGUGAUGCCCUUAGAUGUCCGGGGCUGCACGCGCGCUACACUGGCGAAAUCAGCGUGCUGUAUCCAUUCUCGAAAGGGAUUGGUAAACCCAUGAAAAUUUGCCGUGCUUGGGAUCGGAAAUUGCAAUUAUUUUCCGUGAACGAGGAAUUCCAAGUAAGUGCGAGUCAUCAACUCGCUCUGAUUACGUCCCUGCCCUUUGUACACACCGCCCGUCGCUGCCCGGGACUGAGCCAUUUCGAGA